UACGUAGGGGGCAAGCGUUGUCCGGAUUUAUUGGGCGUAAAGAGCGUGUAGGCGGCUUUACAGGUCCGUUGUGAAAACUCGAGGCUCAACCUCGAGACGCCGGUGGAAACCGUAAAGCUAGAGUCCGGAAGAGGAGAGUGGAAUUCCUGGUGUAGCGGUGAAAUGCGCAGAUAUCAGGAGGAACACCCGUGGCGAAGGCGGCUCUCUGGGACGGUACUGACGCUGAGACGCGAAAGCGUGGGGAGCAAACAGG
This 253-nucleotide ribosomal RNA is filed under the name uncultured bacterium. Its description in RNAcentral is "partial 16S ribosomal RNA". It matches the Rfam family "Bacterial small subunit ribosomal RNA", at positions 524 to 776 of the family's 1533-position model. The record is from RNAcentral.